RNAcentral lists this ribosomal RNA (490 nucleotides) under uncultured bacterium. RNAcentral describes it as "partial 16S ribosomal RNA". It matches the Rfam family "Bacterial small subunit ribosomal RNA", at positions 30 to 507 of the family's 1533-position model. The record is from RNAcentral.
AUUGAACGCUGGCGGCAGGCCUAACACAUGCAAGUCGAACGGUAACAGGAAACAGCUUGCUGUUUCGCUGACGAGUGGCGGACGGGUGAGUAAUGUCUGGGAAACUGCCUGAUGGAGGGGGAUAACUACUGGAAACGGUAGCUAAUACCGCAUAACGUCGCAAGACCAAAGAGGGGGACCUUCGGGCCUCUUGCCCUCGGAUGUGCCCAGAUGGGAUUAGCUAGUAGGUGGGGUAACGGCUCACCUAGGCGACGAUCCCUAGCUGGUCUGAGAGGAUGACCAGACACACUGGAACUGAGACACGGUCCAGACGCCUACGGGAGGCAGCAGUGGGGAAUAUUGCACAAUGGGCGCAAGCCUGAUGCAGCCAUGCCGCGUGUAUGAAGAAGGCCUUCGGGUUGUAAAGUACUUUCAGCGGGGAUGAAGGGAGUAAAGUUAAUACCUUUGCUCAUUGACGUUACCCGCAGAAGAAGCACCGGCUAACUCCGUG